This is a non-coding RNA of Marasmius sp. AFHP31, 105 nucleotides long. Lineage: Eukaryota; Fungi; Basidiomycota; Agaricomycetes; Agaricales; Marasmiaceae. The record is from the annotation of a GenBank genome assembly.
GGCGCUAUAGCCAAGUGGUUACGGCGACAGAUUAGAAUCGAUAUCGUGGGGAAGCUUUCAAUCUGUUCCUCUUUGAGGGCGCAGGUUCAAAUCCUGCUGGCGUCG